GACGAACGCUGGCGGCGUGCCUAAUACAUGCAAGUUGAGCGAUGAAGAUUGGUGCUUGCACCAAUUUGGAGAGCAGCGCACGGGUGAGUAACGCGUGGGGAAUCUGCCUUUGAGCGGGGGACAACAUUUGGAAACGAAUGCUAAUACCGCAUAACCACUUUAAACAUAAGUUUUAAGUUUGAAAGAUGCAAUUGCAUCACUCAAAGAUGAUCCCGCGUUGUAUUAGCUAGUUGGUGAGGUAAAGGCGCACCAAGGCGAUGAUACAUAGCCGACCUGAGAGGGCGGGCAGCCACACUGAGAGGGAGACACGGCCCAAUCGGCUACGGGAGGGAGCCGGAGUGAUACGUCAGGAAGGGGUGAGAGUCUGACCGAGCUAGGCCGAGGGAGGGAAGAAGAUUGUCGGAUCGGAAAACACUGUUGGUGGGGAGGAAAGCUGGUGCGAGUGGGAAGCACAGCAAGUGACGGUAACUGGUAAGAAAGCGACGGCUAACUACGUG
Molecule: ribosomal RNA, 497 nt
Filed under: uncultured bacterium
Lineage: Bacteria
Description: partial 16S ribosomal RNA
Rfam family: Bacterial small subunit ribosomal RNA
Source: RNAcentral